Oncorhynchus nerka (sockeye salmon) is the source of this 1521-nucleotide long non-coding RNA. RefSeq lists it as uncharacterized. The transcript is spliced from 2 exons. The record is from RefSeq and is a predicted model, not a curated record. Lineage: Eukaryota; Metazoa; Chordata; Actinopteri; Salmoniformes; Salmonidae.
CCUCUGAUCUGGAGUAUUUCUUCAGGUCAAACGCAUCCAGCUCCUUUUCUGAAGUCAGCAACACAAAGACCAGAGCUGACCACUGUGCAGGACGUGCAGUGUGAUCUUCAGAGCCCCCUCUCUGGCACUGCUCUCCUGCUUCUCAUCUUCAGCAUCCACUUCCUUAUCCUGCUUCUGACUCUCAAAGCCUUCUGGGAAUUCUGGACUAAGAAUCCUCUUGUACCUCUUCAGCUCGUUGUUCACAAAUGUCAUCAAAUUCUCUUCAAGCAACUGAAAUAAAUAAUGUAAAUCAUUUAAGCAAGAGAAGAAAUACUUUCUCAUUAACACAUUAAUGAAUGAUUGACAUAUCAACUUUACUUGAGGUAAACAAAAACAAUUGUACAUAACAGGACCACAUACACUGAAUAUAGAGGCCAGGUCUGUUUGAUGACUCUGGGAAGACUGACCACUGAGAAUCUCUGACUCUGAUGUCUCCUGUUGGGUUCUGUGGACAAAAUAUGAGAUUACAUUUCCUCAACCAGGGAGGGCACACACACACACACACACACACACACACACACACACACACACACACACACACACACACACACACACACACACAUAGGCACACACACAGGGAGGGAGGGAAUGUCGUGUUUGUUUAAAAUUGCUUUUGGACUAUGAAAAUGGAAAAAAGCAUUAGCCUAUGGAUUUUGAAAACAACAAGAAUAAAUGGGAAUAUGGGAGAGGGGAAAUGACUGUGUUUAUCUCACUGACCAUGACCCGUGAGUUCUUCUUACCUUUGUUCAGGAGAAUAAUCUCCCUCUCUGAAGUCUAUAUUUUUAUCCAUUGACCAGUCACUCUUCAUGGACACACAGCUGGGUACAGGGGAGGCUGGUCUCUCCUGCUUGAUUGGACUUCAACACAACAGAGACAAACAUUACAUCUCUCAUCUACUCUGACCUCAGAUGGGGAAACAUAAUAAUAGUUUAAUUCCAAAUCGCUAUAUAUCCAUUUUCAUAAAAGUUGGUAAAUGAGAUGUUAUUGUUUAAAGAAAUUAUAAAAGUGAUAGAUGUGUUUAUUUUACCAGCUAAUCAUGGCAUGUGAUUGUUUAUUGACAGCCAUGUGUUUGUUUGAAAUCUAUCACUUGGUGGUUUCAUUUCAGAGAGACAAAUAACCAUGUUUAAUUGCAAAAUGUUACGUCUGCCUCACUUUCAGAAAAAUAAAAAGUACUGCUCGGUUUUAUACAGUCAAAUGUUACUGACUGGCUAGAUUCAUUCUUAUGUAGCAACAUUAUGAAUGGUGUUUUUUACAUUGGAUUAAAGUAGAAACUCAGAGCUAGAAAAUGUUAUCAGACACUACAGUUGAGGAACAAUGGGAAAGUAAUUCUGCUUUGGAAGAUGAUAAACUUGAAACCUCACUUUUCAGAAAAUGAUCCUUGAAUGUUUUGGUACACUACUGGAGAGCUCUUCUUUGUAAACAGUGGUGUUACUUUGGCAGAUAAUGUCACCCAUCUAAAUAAAUCGUUUUUCAUAUAUAUAA